CCUUUAAAGAAAGCGUAAUAGCUCACUAGUCGAGUCGGCCUGCGCGGAAGAUGUAACGGGGCUCAAACCACACACCGAAGCUGCGGGUGUCACGUAAGUGACGCGGUAGAGGAGCGUUCUGUAAGCCUGUGAAGGUGAGUUGAGAAGCUUGCUGGAGGUAUCAGAAGUGCGAAUGCUGACAUGAGUAACGACAAUGGGUGUGAAAAACACCCACGCCGAAAGACCAAGGGUUCCUGCGCAACGUUAAUCGACGCAGGGUUAGUCGGUUCCUAAGGCGAGGCUGAAAAGCGUAGUCGAUGGGAAACAGGUUAAUAUUCCUGUACUUCUGGUUACUGCGAUGGAGGGACGGAGAAGGCUAGGCCAGCUUGGCGUUGGUUGUCCAAGUUUAAGGUGGUAGGCUGAAAUCUUAGGUAAAUCCGGGGUUUCAAGGCCGAGAGCUGAUGACGAGUCGUCUUUUAGAUGACGAAGUGGUUGAUGCCAUGCUUCCAAGAAAAGCUUCUAAGCUUCAGGUAACCAGGAACCGUACCCCAAACCGACACAGGUGGUCGGGUAGAGAAUACCAAGGCGCUUGAGAGAACUCGGGUGAAGGAACUAGGCAAAAUGGCACCGUAACUUCGGGAGAAGGUGCGCCGGCUAGGGUGAAGGAUUUACUCCGUAAGCUCUGGCUGGUCGAAGAUACCAGGCCGCUGCGACUGUUUAUUAAAAACACAGCACUCUGCAAACACGAAAGUGGACGUAUAGGGUGUGACGCCUGCCCGGUGCCGGAAGGUUAAUUGAUGGGGUUAGCGCAAGCGAAGCUCUUGAUCGAAGCCCCGGUAAACGGCGGCCGUAACUAUAACGGUCCUAAGGUAGCGAAAUUCCUUGUCGGGUAAGUUCCGACCUGCACGAAUGGCGUAACGAUGGCGGCGCUGUCUCCACCCGAGACUCAGUGAAAUUGAAAUCGCUGUGAAGAUGCAGUGUAUCCGCGGCUAGACGGAAAGACCCCGUGAACCUUUACUGUAGCUUUGCACUGGACUUUGAGCCUGCUUGUGUAGGAUAGGUGGGAGGCUUUGAAGCGUGGACGC
RNAcentral lists this ribosomal RNA (1064 nucleotides) under Pseudomonas aeruginosa. RNAcentral's name for it is "partial 23S ribosomal RNA". It matches the Rfam family "Bacterial large subunit ribosomal RNA", at positions 1120 to 2171 of the family's 2925-position model. The record is from RNAcentral. Lineage: Bacteria; Pseudomonadati; Pseudomonadota; Gammaproteobacteria; Pseudomonadales; Pseudomonadaceae.